RNAcentral lists this ribosomal RNA (390 nucleotides) under uncultured bacterium. RNAcentral describes it as "bacterial SSU rRNA". It matches the Rfam family "Bacterial small subunit ribosomal RNA", at positions 28 to 419 of the family's 1533-position model. The record is from RNAcentral.
GACGGACGCUGGCGGCGUGCUUAACACAUGCAAGUCGAGCGGUAAGGCCCUUUCGGGGUACGACGAGCGGCGAACGGGUGAGUAACACGUGGGUGACCUGCCCUCAGCUCUGGGAUAAGCCUGGGAAACUGGGUCUAAUACCGGAUAUGACUCCAUGACGCAUGUUGUGGGGUGGAAAGCCUUGUGCGGCUGAGGAUGGGCCCGCGGCCUAUCAGCUUGUUGGUGGGGUGAGGCCUACCAAGGCGACGACGGGUAGCCGGCCUGAGAGGGCGACCGGCCACACUGGGACUGAGACACGGGCCCAGACUCCUACGGGAGGCAGCAGUGGGGAAUCUUGCGCAAUGGGCGAAAGCCUGACGCAGCGACGCCGCGUGAGGGAUGACGGCCUGG